GUCCACGCAGUAAACGAUGCAGACUAGGCGUGGGGGGACUUGACCCCCUCCGUGCCGGAGCUAACGCGGGAAGUCUGCCGCCUGGGGAGUACGGCCGCAAGGCUAAAACUCAAAGGAAUUGACGGGGGCCCGCACAAGCGGCGGAGCGUGCUCUUUAAUUCGUCGCAACGCGAAGAACCUUACCAGGGCUUGACAUGACGCUGCAGACCCGGGAAACCGGGGGGCCUUCGAGGGUGCGUCACAGGUGCUGCAUGGCUGUCGU
This 262-nucleotide ribosomal RNA is filed under the name uncultured bacterium. RNAcentral describes it as "partial 16S ribosomal RNA". It matches the Rfam family "Bacterial small subunit ribosomal RNA", at positions 793 to 1055 of the family's 1533-position model. The record is from RNAcentral.